GACGAACGCUGGCGGCGUGCUUAACACAUGCAAGUCGAACGGAAAGGCCCUGCUUUUGUGGGGUGCUCGAGUGGCGAACGGGUGAGUAACACGUGAGUAACCUGCCCUUGACUUUGGGAUAACUUCAGGAAACUGGGGCUAAUACCAGAUAGGGGCUCCUGCUGCAUGGUGGGGGUUGGAAAGUUUCGGCGGUUGGGGAUGGACUCGCGGCUUAUCAGCUUGUUGGUGGGGUAGUGGCUUACCAAGGCUUUGACGGGUAGCCGGCCUGAGAGGGUGACCGGCGUAAGGUGGACGGUGAUGCGGCCGACGAUGCGAGGGGGGGGAGGAGGGGAGAAAGCUAGACGGGGGCUGGGAGCAGGAUGCAGGAGGGCCGGGGGGGGGUUGUCGGGCGUGGGGUUGGACCCCGCGUGCGGCGGUGACGAGGGGUGAGUAAGGGUGAGGGGUAAAGAAGCACCGACUGACUACGUGGCGGAGGGCACGGGAAUAGUCGGAAGAGCACAGGUCUGAAC
Molecule: ribosomal RNA, 509 nt
Filed under: uncultured bacterium
Lineage: Bacteria
Description: partial 16S ribosomal RNA
Rfam family: Bacterial small subunit ribosomal RNA (bases 21-331)
Source: RNAcentral